UGGUCUAUAAUAACCACACUUGACCCUUUGAGGAUAUGCAAUGAUCUACUUGUGCAGCUUCUCUGGUGAAAUAGCGCCUACUUUUAACUUCUUAACCUUGAAUUGUUGAAUAAUAGAUUAAGUACUCAACAGAGAGAGGUAAGUGUCUGUAGUCAAUGGCAAAGAAAUUACCUAGAAAGAAUAUUAAGAACGAAUCUUUCAGAAGGGAGAAAGAGUAAGACAGGGAGAAAAAGUAUAGCAAUAGGAUACAUGUCUCUUUCAACUUCAAAGAGAAGUCCACUAUAUGGAUGAGUGGGGAACCACUAAUGUGUACUAUCAUCUGUAGUGUGCAUCCAAUAAUGGCUAUUUCUUUAAUCUACUUUUGGUUCAAAAGAAAAGUCAAAGUUAAAUUUCAAGGGAGAAAUGCCAUAUCUAUUCAUCAGCCAGUCUAAUGGAUAAAUUUGCUCAUAUAGAAACGGAUAUGCACAAUCUAAUUGUCUUGCAGUUACAAUCAUGAAGAGAUAUGCAUAAGAAACCACUUUUUCUUUGUUUACUAUAACUGCUAUCACUCGAAGCUAUAAAAUUUUCAGAUGAACUAUUACUAACUUGAAACAUGAAGACAACUCAAUUGGAAAAAGGAAACUAAGUUGGCUCGUCUUCAGCUUUAGUGAUCAGGUUUGCGAUGUUCCUAAUUAUCAUUUCUAAUAAAUGUACAUGCUUAGGAUGAGCUUUUACUAGAAACCUUCACCUCACAUCUUUUCUCAGAUAGCGAACAAAUCAUUGUAACAAAAUGACGAAACUUAGAUGUAUCAAGACAAACUGAACUGCCAAGAGAAGAUGACAAAUAGAAUAUGGGGAAGCGGCCGUUCGAAAAGGACUUCAAAAAGCUGAAUUGACCAGAGUGUAUUGAAGAGAAAAUAGCAUGUAACAACAUCCUUACCUACUUAUUUUAGGAAAAAAGAAAAAACAUCAAGGUGUGGAGGGUUCAAAGUCCAAGUCAAAAGCAACGAAAGUAAACAGAUUGAAUCAUUUGGCAAUCAUUAUGCAAUUGUCAACAUCCACUAAAAAUAUAAUUCUAUUUUGCUCCAGAUGUGGCAGGCAGAAUUUUGUAUAACUACUAAUUCAACCUAACCAAUUGAUACCCCUCUUAGGGCAGGUAAUCACCACAUAAAAGCUAAUUAAAUUUCCUAAAACAAAAAAUUCAUUUUCCCAAAAUUUUCAUCCAAACCCCACCACCAAAAAUUUCUCUUAGGACACACAAAUUGCAUAUUUAUGGAAACCAAAUGAAAAAACGAAGAAAGGGAAAAUGGAGCAAUUAGGUAAAGAAUAGUACAAUCCGACUAGUAAAAAUACCAAUUCUACAUCAGAUCUUGCUGCUAUAUUGAAACAUUUACAGUUAAUAAGACUUUACAAGCACUUGUGGAACAAGCACAAACUUUAGCCAAGAAUUAGGUGAAAAAGAUCCAAACUUUAAAGAAGAACAAAAAAAAAAGAAGGUUAAAGCUUUUAAAGAAACAUCAAGAAAUGAUGAGGAAUAAGAAGAAGAAAGACUUACAUAUUGCCAUUAGAAGAGUAUUGCAAAGGCAGCAGCUUUUACAACAAUUCUGUUGUAAAGACAGGAGAAAGACAGAUCACUCUGAAAUGGGGCUAAUUGUGUCCCAGAGUUAUUACUUGUGUUGUGACAAAAACCCAGUAACUUACACUGCUAAAGGUAUGAAUACCAACCUACAACAAAUGUUGUUGGAAUUUGCUUACUACACUAAGAAAUAGUAAAAAGUUACUUUAAGAAAAAGGAAAGGAAGAAGAAAUUAGAGGAAUUUGAAG
This 1803-nucleotide long non-coding RNA is filed under the name Nicotiana tabacum (common tobacco). RNAcentral's name for it is "long non-coding RNA (NTAB_LNC005656)". The record is from RNAcentral. Lineage: Eukaryota; Viridiplantae; Streptophyta; Magnoliopsida; Solanales; Solanaceae.